AUACGGAGGAUGCAAGCGUUAUCCGGAUUUAUUGGGUUUAAAGGGUGCGUAGGCUGACGUGUAAGUCAGAGGUGAAAUGCCCGGGCUCAACCUGGGAACUGCCUUUGAUACUGCAUGUCUGGAGUUCGGAUGCCGUGGGAGGAAUGGGCAGUGUAGCGGUGAAAUGCAUAGAUAUUGCCCAGAACACCGAUUGCGAAGGCAUCUCACGAAUCCGACACUGACGCUGAGGCACGAAAGCGUGGGGAUCAAACAGGAUUAGAUACCCUGGUAGUCCACGCAGUAAACGAUGAUCACUCGUUGUUGGGGGGUGACCCUCAGCGGCCAAGCGAAAGCGAUAAGUGAUCCACCUGGGGAGUACGAUCGCAAGGUUGAAACUCAAAUGAAUUGGCGGGG
Molecule: ribosomal RNA, 393 nt
Filed under: uncultured bacterium
Lineage: Bacteria
Description: partial 16S ribosomal RNA
Rfam family: Bacterial small subunit ribosomal RNA
Source: RNAcentral